UUGUGUGCAAUGAUAUUUUGGUUAGCGUAAUCGAACUGAUUAUGAACCACGGACCGACCGUGGACCGCCAGUAAACAGUAAUUAUAAACCAGCGGCUCGUCAGCGGACCACUGUCGGAAAAGCGUUGUGUGUGCGUUGGUGGUCCGCUGGAAUAACGAUGAGCAAAACGCCGGUGAACCUCGGGCGGCGUCCGCCGGUGGGCCGCCGACUUUGCCACCAGUGGCCCGCUGAUCUUAUGUUAGCUGGGUUCUAUCUGGACAGAAGAGCGAGCGAGGUCGUAUUAUGGCGAGCAUCAGGUCGUUUACUGGGAAGAAGAUUUGGUGUUGAUAGAGGAGGUGACGUCUUCAAGGCAAAACCUUAGACCUGAUGCAGCAUCAUCCAAUGUUGCAAUCACCCUCAGGAGGCACUUGAAGCCCAGUGCCCGAUAUGCACAGGAACAUUUCCAGUGUCAGAAGUAGAACUGCCAUGCCAGCUUUUGUGGAGAAAGGCUCUCCAAGGAAGGUGAUUUUCAAGGGACUGACAGGGCUUCCUGUUUUUGACAUGUUAUCUGGUGACAGAUUUCAGAUGUCUUUGUGGUGUUUAUCUGUGCUGCUGCAUGACGAAAUCACAUCCUCCUCACCGUAAAAAUAAAUAAAUAAAAUUGUAUGUGUGUAACGUGUCUGCCCUGUCUAAAGUCCCCGUUGUCCUUAUUUGGUUUAGUUCCGGUCCCGAUUAGUUAAUUAUCUGUCAUUGUCCCCACCUGAGUUUGAUGAUGUUGUUUGCUCUUUUGUUCUCUCUCCUUUAUAAGUCCUCAGUUCUCCUUUUGUGUUUGUCCGUUCUUAAUGUAAUAAAGUGGGAAAAGUG
Onychostoma macrolepis is the source of this 843-nucleotide long non-coding RNA. RefSeq lists it as uncharacterized. NCBI's taxonomy places the organism in Eukaryota, Metazoa, Chordata, Actinopteri, Cypriniformes, Cyprinidae. The transcript has 4 exons. The record is from RefSeq and is a predicted model, not a curated record.